Molecule: ribosomal RNA, 441 nt
Filed under: uncultured bacterium
Lineage: Bacteria
Description: bacterial SSU rRNA
Rfam family: Bacterial small subunit ribosomal RNA
Source: RNAcentral
GUACGGGAGGCAGCAGUGGGGAAUAUUGGGCAAUGGAGGCAACUCUGACCCAGCAACGCCGCGUGAGUGAAGAAGGUCUUCGGAUUGUAAAGCUCUGUGGAUAGGGAUGAAAAAAAUGACAGUACCUAUAAAGCAAGCCACGGCAAACUACGUGCCAGCAGCCGCGGUAAUACGUAGGUGGCAAGCGUUGUCCGGAAUGACUGGGUGUAAAGGGUGCGUAGGCGGCUUAUUAAGUUAGAAGUGUAAUACCUGGGCUCAACUUAGGUGCUACUUCUAAGACUGAUGAGCUUGAGUGUGGGAGAGGUAAGUGGAAUUCCUAGUGUAGCGGUGGAAUGCGUAGAUAUUAGGAGGAACACCAGUGGCGAAGGCGACUUACUGGACCAUAACUGACGCUGAUGCACGAAAGCGUGGGUAGCAAACAGGAUUAGAUACCCUGGUAGC